UUUUUUUUUUUUUUUAUCUUGCAACUCAAGUGGAACCUUCAGUAGAGCAGUGGUUUGCAAAAUCCUUGUUGUUCUGGCAGAUUAUUGGCAGUUACUUGCCUGCUUAUAAUCAUUGGAAUUAGAUCCAAUACACAAAGGAUUGAAAUUGAGCAUGGCUCAGUCUACCUUUAUCGUAGAUCUAUUUCAUAUAAUAAGCUUUUUAGUGCUUUUAUAUGCUCUUUCUUGCAGUUUAGUUUCUUCUUGUAUUAAGCUAGAAGUCACUGUUAAAUAUUCACCGAGGUUGCCUUUGCAAAUUCAGUUUCUUGCUUGCUAAUCUGUCUAGUACGUGUGAGUUGAGGAAUCUUGGGCAGAUGGCGGAAAUGAG
Molecule: unclassified non-coding RNA, 364 nt
Filed under: Hevea brasiliensis (rubber tree)
Lineage: Eukaryota; Viridiplantae; Streptophyta; Magnoliopsida; Malpighiales; Euphorbiaceae
Source: RNAcentral